RNAcentral lists this ribosomal RNA (422 nucleotides) under uncultured prokaryote. RNAcentral describes it as "bacterial SSU rRNA". It matches the Rfam family "Bacterial small subunit ribosomal RNA", at positions 338 to 774 of the family's 1533-position model. The record is from RNAcentral.
CCUACGGGAGGCUGCAAUUAGGAAUCUUGCGCAAUGGGCGAAAGCCUGACGCAGCGACGCCGCGUGACUGAUGAAGUCUUUCGGGAUGUAAAGGUCUUUUGCAGGGGACGAAGGAAGUGACGGUACCCUGCGAAUAAGCUCCGGCUAACUACGUGCCAGCAGCCGCGGUAAUACGUAGGGAGCGAGCGUUGUCCGAAUUUACUGGGCGUAAAGCGCGCGUAGGCGGGUUUUUAAGUUGGGGGUGAAAUGCCGAGGCUUAACCUCGGAACUGCCUCCAAAACUGGAAGCCUUGAGGUAUGGAGAGGGAAGUGGAAUUCCAGGUGUAGCGGUGAAAUGCGUAGAUAUCUGGAGGAACACCCGUGGCGAAGGCGGCUUCCUGGUCAUAUCCUGACGCUGAGGUGCGAAAGCUAGGGGAGCGAACG